This is a non-coding RNA of Peromyscus maniculatus bairdii (prairie deer mouse), 625 nucleotides long. Lineage: Eukaryota; Metazoa; Chordata; Mammalia; Rodentia; Cricetidae. The record is from RefSeq and is a predicted model, not a curated record.
UCACAGUAAGCUAAAUUCUGAAUCUUCACUGGACUUCAUGUAGUCAGAGAAGGAUGGUGUCAAAUUCAAAGGUGAAAAGGUGAUACAUGCUCACCAGAUAAAGGCUUGAAAUUCAAAGAAACUAAAAGAUGGUUCCAUCUGAAGGCAUGAGGACAGGGAUUCAUGGUACUGGGGAUGUGUGACAGAGGACAGACAGCUGUUCACAUCCUGGUAUGCCAGGAAGUGAAGCAUGACAGAAGCUAGAAGAGCUUCAACAGCUAUCCCACGUGACCUGCUUCCCUCAUUGAGAAUAAAAUCCAGCCAUUCCCGUGGUGUUCAAAGACUGAAUGCUUUGCUCUGAAGAUCAAGACAGGAUGAUGACAUCCAUCCUCACAACUCUGACUCUGCAGUCCAGAAGCUGAGCAGGGUCUGACACAGGCAGAACCAUGGGCCAUAGCAGACCUGAUAGCAGGAUUAUUCAAGAGAAACAAAAGCUGUGUUACUGAGGAGGGGAUUCCUUGGUCAUCCUAAAGGCAGCAUCCCCGAUAAAGUUGUCUCCUGCAUCCAACUUGCAUUCAUCUGACUAAAGCACACAGCCGCUGGAGUUCCUGUCCCUGCAGAAACAAGAAAGUCUUUUUUUGCUUGA